GGGAGCUUGCUCCUUGAUUCAGCGGCGGACGGGUGUAGUAAUGCCUAGGAAUCUGCCUGGUAGUGGGGGACAACGUUUCGAAAGGAACGCUAAUACCGCAUACGUCCUACGGGAGAAAGCAGGGGACCUUCGGGCCUUGCGCUAUCAGAUGAGCCUAGGUCGGAUUAGCUAGUUGGUGGGGUAAUGGCUCACCAAGGCGACGAUCCGUAACUGGUCUGAGAGGAUGAUCAGUCACACUGGAACUGAGACACGGUCCAGACUCCUACGGGAGGCAGCAGUGGGGAAUAUUGGACAAUGGGCGAAAGCCUGAUCCAGCCAUGCCGCGUGUGUGAAGAAGGUCUUCGGAUUGUAAAGCACUUUAAGUUGGGAGGAAGGGCAGUAAGCUAAUACCUUGCUGUUUUGACGUUACCGACAGAAUAAGCACCGGCUAACUCUGUGCCAGCAGCCGCGGUAAUACAGAGGGUGCAAGCGUUAAUCGGAAUUACUGGGCGUAAAGCGCGCGUAGGUGGUUCGUUAAGUUGGAUGUGAAAGCCCCGGGCUCAACCUGGGAACUGCAUCUAAAACUGGCGAGCUAGAGUACGGUAGAGGGUGGUGAAUUUUCCUGUGUAGCGGUGAAAUGCGUAAUAUAGGAAGGAACACCAGUGGCCGA
Molecule: ribosomal RNA, 649 nt
Filed under: Pseudomonas putida
Lineage: Bacteria; Pseudomonadati; Pseudomonadota; Gammaproteobacteria; Pseudomonadales; Pseudomonadaceae
Description: bacterial SSU rRNA
Rfam family: Bacterial small subunit ribosomal RNA
Source: RNAcentral